GGGAGACCCUGGUGGCCGGUUUUGGUCGGUCACGUGGGCACGCGGCUGAGCCAAUCAGAAUCUCCCGGCAGUUGGUUCCCGGAGGCAGAAUCUGUUAAACUGACAAAGCCCACGUCUCCGGGUCCCUGUCUCGGGGAGUCGGGACUAUUGGGUCACCCCGGGUAGUCGAGACUCUAGACUGAGCUGUCUCGGUCACUCAGGAGGCAGUUGGCAGAGUAUUCGUGGUCAGGGAGGUGACCCGUGGUCAGCAGGGUCAGGCCACCCAGGGACAAAGGGUGCUCCUGCACCGGGCCUUGGAGAAGGACAGAGCGGUGGGGACUUGGGGUCAGCGGGGGAGCCUCCGCGGAUGGGGAGUCACCACCUGCCGGCAAUCAGCCAUGACUGCCUUUGCACUGUCCAUGCUCUCAGCCCACCACCUCCUCCCCCUGCCAUUGCAGUGGCUAACACUGGAGACGAAGACCAAGACACCACAGCCUUUCUCCAGUACCUCUCAAAUCAGCACAGACAAGGACAAAGGCCUCAAUCCACAACUGCUGAAGAUGGACCCUGGCCACAUGGGAUGGUCAGACACGCCUGCCCAGCUAUCUGCAGGCGAAGAGGCUCAGAAGAGGUUUAGGGGCCUGAAGGACAUCUUGCUUCCAUGUCCAUAUGAGCAGGCUAUUUCUGCUCCAUGAGUCAAUUUUGCCAUAUAAAAUACUUAAUUUCAGCCAUUCCAGGGUGCUAUAGGAUGCACAGCUUCCCAUCAGCCCACCUGAACUCCAGCCAUGCCAUUUUAAUACCAGGAAUAAGGUCACCUGCUUUCCUGCCCCUUAGGAGGCCGGAGCCGUGGAAGCAAAAUGGCACUUCUGUUUACCUGUUAUAUUAUUUUUUUGUCAUCCUUAUAUGUUUGAAAAAUGCAAUUAUAUGAAAAAAGUUUAGUAAUUACAGACAUAACAGCAGAAAGUCCUCGGAACCAAGCUUAUUCUCAUGGCCGAUUCUGCUCCACCUGGGACUCUGCUGUGCUGCGGGCAUCCUGUGGUCAGAAUCGCAGAGGGGCCAUCAGGGAGGACCUUCCCAGAGGAUGGACCUCACGUGACUGCUGCGUGGGCAAGUGGCACUGGCCACUCUGCCUGGAGAGAGGAGUAAAUGCAGGGCUGGCCAGGCGACCUGCACACUCUGCUACCGGCCUUGUCCAUCUUUAGCCUCUAAUUUGAAAAUGAGGAUCACACAGACCAAGAGUAUCUUUGAGGGUUAGUACAGACCACAGAAAUGCCCUGGGCCUUUCACUCUCUCCUUUUGCAAAUUCCCAUGUGUGGAAAUGCCGUUUGGAUAAUGAGGGAGCCUGAAGGAGGUGGACACAUGAGCAGCCCCGACAGGCCUGGCUCCAUCCUCUGAAAAUGGGGCCCCGUGCCCGGCGUGUGGCCUUACUGGUUCAGUCUUCUUUACAGUGGUAGGUUUUGAGUGCCCAGAUGCCCAGUGCCUCCUACCCGGAACAGGACAGGACCAGGCUGUCCCCUGGAAGAAUCCCAUGCACACUUGGCUAUUCAGGGAGUUUCCACCCAGCCGAGCUCGCCUCUGUGGCUACCCUGGUCUUGCUGCUCAUAUCUGCCAGGAAAGGCCUGGACUUGGAGAGAAACCUGGGAUUUGGAUUCAGUCCUUGCCAGCCUGGCUGGUUCAUAUCCUUACCUCUGUCUGUGGAAGCCUAUGUUCCUGAGCAGCGAGUCAGAGGGGGCAUCUGAACGCAGAGCAGGGAGCUUCAGAUGGGAAGAAGUCAGAGGAACCAGAAUGUAUCAGACGAUGUGGAGUUGGGUGCCUGAGCUCAAAGCAAGCUGGGCCUUGGGCUGGCUGUGUGAUCUUGGGCAAGUUCGACCAGCUUCUUUGUGCCUCUUUUCUCUCCUUAAUAAGAUAAAUGUCUUCACUAGUACACUGAGGGCUGCCAUUAAGUUCUAUGUGCAGGGAUCCAAGGCAGGCCCUAGGUCUCUUGGUGAGUGCUACUCCUCCUUACAAUUUGCUGCCCGGAGCAACAUUGGGUGACAGAACUUCUUAGCACCUUGGCAGUCCUUGUCCUCCUGGACCCUCUGUUUUGAGGGUGGAAUGAGGUGAAGGGCAAGUGCUUUCCCAGCUGGUCAGGUGCUCUACCAACUGGGCAUAUUCUAAUCCCCCCAGAGUAUACAGAUCAGAGUUUGAUGUGGCCAAUGGGUCCAAUGCCCAAGUGAGAAUCUCUUGAUGAAGUUAUUGGUGUGGGGUUUUGCUUUGGUUUUUAAUUAUAGAGAGCAAAAGUAUUGAAAGUAUUACAUUUACCCUAAAGGUGUAAGCAAGUUAUGGUCAAGUGAAGAUGAAGUACCAUCCUCAAACACGGGUUCCAUUCUUAGCUCAUCUCAUUUAAAGGAGAGAAAAGCCUUGCAGGUGAAACAUGGUGGGGGUAGACAGGGGUUCAGCCAAUUUCAGUGUUUGGCCCCAAGAAGUGAAUUUGGGUUUGAGGACCUCUCUCUGGAAGGAUUUUAUGACCAGAUCUUCCUGGAGAUGAUAUUAGAAGCUUUUCUCACCAAAUAUUUAUUUGCCUGGGGUGCAACUUCUGCUUCAUUCUCUCUUUGACUCCAGCUGUCUUUUUGGACUGAAGUGCAGGUUGCUCACAGCAUCCUACAAAGUAACUGUCUUCCCAAAUCUCACUUACCUCUGAGUUUCUGCUGUAUUCCUGUCUUUCUCUCUCUCUUUUUGAACUGGAAUCUAUUACUUUGGAUGAUGCAUGCUGGCGUUUUCUAAAGUUUUCUGAUUGAUUGUGUCUUUAAAAAAUAAUCUGAUAGUAUUUUAGCUUCU
Molecule: long non-coding RNA, 2796 nt
Organism: Homo sapiens (human)
Lineage: Eukaryota; Metazoa; Chordata; Mammalia; Primates; Hominidae
Product: long intergenic non-protein coding RNA 654
Source: Ensembl